AAGAGAAAGGACGAAAGUCCAACCUCCAACCCUUUGUUAUAAACCACUAGUUGCCUUGCCUUAUGCUGGACAAUUGAGGCACGGGGAAACCCGGGCCCCAAUCUACAGCCUCUAGGGCAAUGGACCUUUAAACUCGAAUAUCAGUGUAGUCUGAGAAAAAAUUCAAUGAAUUA
This 173-nucleotide unclassified non-coding RNA is filed under the name uncultured Ascomycota. RNAcentral describes it as "sequence contains ITS1". Lineage: Eukaryota; Fungi; Ascomycota. The record is from RNAcentral.